RNAcentral lists this ribosomal RNA (503 nucleotides) under uncultured bacterium. RNAcentral describes it as "bacterial SSU rRNA". It matches the Rfam family "Bacterial small subunit ribosomal RNA", at positions 8 to 507 of the family's 1533-position model. The record is from RNAcentral.
AGAGUUUGAUCAUGGCUCAGAUUAAACGCUGGCGGCAUGCCUUACACAUGCAAGUCGAACGGCAGCACGGGGGCAACCCUGGUGGCGAGUGGCGAACGGGUGAGUAAAGCAUCGGAACGUGCCCUGGAGUGGGGGAUAACGUAGCGAAAGUUACGCUAAUACCGCAUAUUCUGUGAGCAGGAAAGCAGGGGAUCGCAAGACCUUGCGCUCUGGGAGCGGCCGAUGUCGGAUUAGCUAGUUGGUGGGUAAAGGCCUACCAAGGCGACGAUCCGUAGCGGGUCUGAGAGGAUGAUCCGCCACACUGGGACUGAGACACGGCCCAGACUCCUACGGGAGGCAGCAGUGGGGAAUUUUGGACAAUGGGCGAAAGCCUGAUCCAGCCAUGCCGCGUGAGUGAAGAAGGCCUUCGGGUUGUAAAGCUCUUUCGGUGGGGAAGAAAUUGCAUGGGCUAAUACCCUGUGUAGAUGACGGUACCUGGAGAAGAAGCACCGGCUAACUACGUG